This 510-nucleotide long non-coding RNA is filed under the name Ananas comosus (pineapple). RNAcentral describes it as "long non-coding RNA (ACOM_LNC017201)". The record is from RNAcentral. Lineage: Eukaryota; Viridiplantae; Streptophyta; Magnoliopsida; Poales; Bromeliaceae.
GAUGUCAAUGGGUAAGGAUAUCCGAAAAUUAUCGAGUUUAUCCGAGCUAAACGGGUAUGGAUUUGAUUAUGGGUAUAAAAAAUAAAAAUCCGACAGAUAUAGAUACGGAUAUGAAUUUUGAAUUUACCUGACCUGAACCCGAACCCAAACCCGAAUAAAUUAUAUAUAUACAUAAUUUAUUUUUAUUUAUUUAUAUAAUAUAUAAAAUAUUUAAUAAUUUUUAUCUCUUAAAUCUUCAUCCAACGGUAUGAAUUUUUAAAACUCAUCGGGUUUAGAUCCGUGUUCGGAUUUCGAAUUUUUGGUCAGCUACGAAUAUGGGUACGAAUUGUUAAAACCCGCCGGAUUCAGAUCCAGGUUCGGGUUUUAAUUUGAUUUUCGAGUUUGGGGUUUGGCUUUUUGAAAACCUGACCCAAACCCGACCCGUUGACAUCCCUAGGGGUGUGUAUGGUUCAUCAGAAAAGUAUGAAAAAAAAAAUUUUGAGAAAAAGUUUUUUAUGGAAAAAAAAAUUU